UAGCUGCAAAAUAAAAAUUGACAUAGAUAAGUGAUUCUUAUCACAUCUCGACGUUAUCUCCUUUCUCUCUAGUAAAUAAUUAUUCAACGCUCUUCGAAACCCAUUAUUAUGUGACGAGAAAAUGUUAAUAUUCGGAAUAAGUUCUUGUUUGUAACAUUUUUCCGCGUUUUUUUAAAUUAAAUUGGAUACAAAGCGAUGUUAUUUCGCAUAAUGAUCAUCUUGACGGUCCUAUCGCGAAAUAGAAGUUGGUGGAAGUAACGGAUUGUGAAUUAUCUCGUGACUGAAAGUCAAGGUAAAAACAGUGGCCGCCCGGAAACUGUUGCAGGAACGUACAGCUGCACGCGGUAGAUUCGGGCGCAGUAAAUUAAGGAAAAAGAACACACGGAGAUUUAGUAGAUAAUUUUUAUUCUCGAAAAUCACAGUCACGCGCAAAGAAUCGCAAAGAAAAUUUCAUUUUUAGUGAGCUUGAGAAGUUAAAUCGGUUCAAUAAACCUAUUUGUUUGCGAUCUCGAGGAAAAUUAUAUAUAAACUUACAUAUAAACAUGACAAAUACAAAACAAAUUAAUCUUAGCGAUUCAGAGAUAUAAAGACUCAUAAAGUUUUACCAAAUUUAUAUUAUUAUUUAAUAUAAUUAUUUAAAUUUUCAUCUCCUAUUCGUGCAAAUGAUCGAGCAAACCUUGAUUCCAACGUGUGUUCUGGAAGUAAAAAUAAAAGACAAAAAAAUAUGCAAAUAUGCAACUAUGUAUACGGUUGCUUUCUUUAAAAAAAAAACACAAAUUAACACAUUUGAGCACGUGAACCUUAUCGUACGUAUGCCGUAUAGACAACAGUUAUUUUAGGAAAAUAGGAAAUUUUUUACUAGACACUCGACAAAUGCCUGGUCAAAUGUCUUUUCGUCCAUUUUUUUGUAUUCAAAUGCUAUUUUCCUAGCAUAGUAUUUGCCUGAACGUUUUUUAAUAAAAUAAAAAUAAAUUUUAUUUUAUAAAGUAGAAAUACGAUAUAGUGGAAAAGUUCGAAUGCUUCAGUUUACAAAAAUAUUUUUUUAAUCGCAAAUUGUUGAAAACAUUUUUUACUCUGUAUAUCUUUUUGGAAAGAUGAAAUGCCAAAAUUAUGCUUCUUGAAUAAACUAUGACGUAAUUAUGUAUAUACAUAAAAAAUCAACAAUCCUUGCAUAAAUAAAAACGUAAUUUUAAAGUAAUCGACUCGUACUACAUGUCGAAUCAAUUUCAUUCUCCUUGUAUUGUCAAUUUUUUUCUUUGUUCUUUUAUUAUCGCGGUUAAUUGCAAACGCGCAAAAUGUGUCAUACCAUUGAAAUUAUCUACGUGUAGUUUUUGAGAGAAUCGAUAACAGAGAAACAUGAUAUGUAUAAUUGCAACGCGUCUUGCCCGGUCUUGUCCGCGGUAAAGCAAACAUUUGAUAAAUGUGCUCGAUUACUUAUCAGCACAUCACAUCGCGCGCUUUCCCCGAUCUAAUUUAUGAUAUAGUCCAGUGUGUGCUCUAUCCGCGGCCCGUGAAAUGCGCUUGAUCGAUUAUUCGGGCAAAUUGAUCGAGCGUCGCUUCCUGAUAAUACGACAAUUUUGUGAUCUAUACGCAUAUCCUCUCGCUUCAUCGGCCAGUAGUAGAAAUUGCGGAGGAUCAUGGACGCGAACGCUUCCACCUUUGCAUAUUGCCGUGAAGGACGUUCAGCAAAGAGAAAUCCACGAGGUUUCGGGGGAUGUGAUACCGAUAAACAUGGUGAAGGGUAUCGGACAUCUCCGAGAUCCCCGACUGAACAAGGGCUUGGCAUUCACCCUGAAAGAGAGAAUAGCCCUUGGGAUACACGGGUUGCAACCUCCCAGAUUUAAAACGCAAGAGGAACAGCUGGCUCUAUGCAAAGCGUCAGUAAUGAAAUAUUCGGAGGAUCUGAAUCGAUAUUUAUAUCUCGUGGAACUUCAGGAGAGGAACGAAAGAUUAUUUUUUCGCUUGUUAAGCGAAAACAUCGAACAGAUGAUGCCGAUUGUCUAUACACCUACCGUUGGUUUGGCCUGCCAAAAGUUUGGUGUGAUAUAUCGUAGACCUCGCGGACUUUUCAUUACUAUAUACGAUAAAGGCCAUAUUUAUGAAAUCUUGAAUAAUUGGCCAGAACAAGCCGUGCGGGCCAUCUGCGUAACGGAUGGCGAGCGAAUUUUAGGCCUCGGUGACCUCGGGGCCUGCGGCAUGGGUAUCCCCGUUGGAAAACUAGCGCUUUACACAGCUCUGGCUGGUAUCAAACCGCAUCAAUGUCUCCCGAUCACUAUCGAUGUAGGCACCAAUAACGAACAGCUAAGAAAUGACCCUCACUACAUCGGUCUUAACAAGCCUAGGAGCCAAGGUGCCGAGUAUGACGAAUUAAUCGACGAAUUUAUGGCCGCCUGCGUGAAAAAGUACGGACAAAACGUUCUUAUUCAAUUCGAAGACUUCGGAAACCACAACGCCUUCCGUUUCUUAGACAAAUACAGAAACAAGUACUGUACGUUCAAUGAUGAUAUACAAGGUACGGCUGCGGUUGCAGUGGCUGGAAUCUUAGCGUCACAAAGAAUAACUAAGAAGAGAAUGGCGGAGAAUAAGUUUGUCUUCCUGGGAGCCGGAGAGGCAGCAAUCGGAAUAGCUGAUCUUUGCGUGAAAGCGAUGGAGGCUGAUGGUUGCACUCAACAGCAGGCGCGUGGUAACAUUUGGAUGAUGGACAUUGACGGAUUACUCGUGAAGAAUCGGCCCGAGGGUAAUUUGGAGGGCCACAAGAUCUGGUACGCGAAGGACCACAAAGUGAUGAAGACAUUGAUCGAAGUUGUGAAAGAAAUCAAACCUUCUGUCCUGAUAGGCGCUUCGGCGGCGGCGGGUGCAUUCACUCCUGAAGUUUUAAGAGAAAUGGCAAAUCAUAACGAGAGACCGUUGAUCUUCGCUCUAAGUAAUCCAACGAGUAAAGCUGAAUGUACGGCACAGCAGGCGUACGAUAAUACUGAUGGUAGAUGCGUAUUCUCUUCGGGUUCACCGUUCGGUGAAGUAAAGUACAAAGGGAAAACGUACAAGCCUGGACAGGGUAAUAAUGCGUACAUCUUUCCCGGUAUCGCUUUGGGCGUUAUCGCGACCGGAGUGCAUCACAUUACCGAAGAUUUGUUCCUGAUCUCAGCGCAAACUGUCGCCGAUCACGUGAAAAAUGAGGAUCUCGAAAGGGGUAGUCUGUAUCCGCCGUUAAAUAGCAUUCGCGAGUGUUCUAUCGACAUCGCAGUUAAAAUAGCUGAAUACGCUUACGCCAAAGGUGGUUUGGCAAGUGAGUAUCCGGAACCGAAAGACAAGCGACAAUUCAUCAUAAGUAAGAUGUACGAUGCCAACUAUGACAGUCCACUGCCAAAUCUGUACGAAUGGCCGGGUGAUUAUGCCAAACCGCGUAUCUUGCCGGAAAAAGACGUAAUAGAAAUUCGUCACAAUUUAAAACAUCUGUAGCGGAUUUCAUCGGCCGGAAUAGUUGGAGGCUAUCAUUGUUAUCUUUAACGAUAAAAAGUAUCGAUGUUUCUUCGACUUUAUAAUCAGUGUCAUUCAUGGCAUAUGCAAACAGCAAAACAACUUGUAAACAGUUCUAAUCAUUAUGACGCGUUGGCGAGUCUAAACUCUAAACAUGAGACGACCACUUGACAUACAUUUUAAUUUCUUGCAGUCAGAAAGUAAACUAUGAUUAUUGUGGAUAAUCGCAUAAAUAUUGUACUCAUUAAUAUUAAGAAAUUACAAUUUAUCGAUGUUUUUUGCGUUUAAACAAGAAUACGUACUUAUAUAUAUAUAUAUAUAUAUAUAUAUUUAAUGUAAUGAUGUAGCGAUAUUUGACGCAACGCAGAAUCAUAUGUGAAUAGAAUACAACUAUUCACUAACUAACUCGACAUGGAUUGUCAAAUAUUCCAGUACAUUACAGAUUAUUUAUUUUUUUAAGAUAUCUAAAAUAAUCGCGAAGUUAUUUCUAAUAAUGUAAUAUCAUUCUGCAUUGUGUGGCAUGCACAGUACGCGAUACAUUUACUUUAUAUUUUAAAACUACAGUUAACGAAUAGUUGCUUUUUGUUGUAAUCAUUUGAUACAUGAUCCUUCAUCAGAAAUGAAUUGCUACCUCGUGAUUAUUUUUUAAGUAAUGACAUGAAGUAAAUAAAGGCUCACGAAUAACAUGACAAAAUAAUUUUAAUCGUUUCUUUUGGAUGGACGAUGGAGCGAUCAUAUAUUCAAUAAAUUAGAGAAAAGUAUCAGAAAAAGAGGAACCGUUAUGAUAUAUCAAAUCAUUAUUAUAUAUCAAAACAUUAUAACACCAAUAUCUUUCUACUUUAUAAUACGCAUUCUUCUAUCCUGUAGAAGAAUGUUAUAGAUAAAUUUCUGGCAAAAGGCAUCUAUGUUACAUUAAAUAUAAGUAUUUAUCGAUAACAUUGAUUAGAUUUGAUUAAUUACUGCCUCAAAAUAGGAAACUUUAUAAAUCUGUGCAAUUUGUAUACAGAAAAGUGUAUCAUGCUGCCAUGAAUAAACAUCUUGACAGUAUAUAUAUCGCAAGAAAAUAGAUUCCAUCAAAUUGUGAAUACGUUUAUGAAUUGCUAAAUGUAAAUUAUAAUGUUAAAGAUUACGAAUAAAUGUUAAAUUCUGGUCGUUA
Wasmannia auropunctata (little fire ant) is the source of this 4633-nucleotide RNA transcript. It is a transcript of the gene named NADP-dependent malic enzyme, with no coding region annotated. The transcript is spliced from 12 exons. NCBI's taxonomy places the organism in Eukaryota, Metazoa, Arthropoda, Insecta, Hymenoptera, Formicidae. The record is from RefSeq and is a predicted model, not a curated record.